RNAcentral lists this transfer RNA (66 nucleotides) under Haliotis ovina. Its description in RNAcentral is "tRNA-Pro". The record is from RNAcentral. Lineage: Eukaryota; Metazoa; Mollusca; Gastropoda; Lepetellida; Haliotidae.
CAAGGGGUAGUUUAAGUAAAAUUCUAGCAUUGGAAGUUAGCGAUUGGGGGGACCCCCAUCCUUUGA